This 451-nucleotide ribosomal RNA is filed under the name uncultured bacterium. Its description in RNAcentral is "bacterial SSU rRNA". It matches the Rfam family "Bacterial small subunit ribosomal RNA", at positions 329 to 794 of the family's 1533-position model. The record is from RNAcentral.
UUCCAGACUCCUACGGGAGGCAGCAGUGGGGAAUAUUGCACAAUGGGGGAAACCCUGAUGCAGCAACGCCGCGUGAGUGAAGAAGUAUCUCGGUAUGUAAAGCUCUAUCAGCAGGGAAGAAAGAAAUGACGGUACCUGAGUAAGAAGCCCCGGCUAACUACGUGCCAGCAGCCGCGGUAAUACGUAGGGGGCGAGCGUUAUCCGGAUUUACUGGGUGUAAAGGGAGCGUAGACGGUUAAUCAAGUCUGAAGUGAAAGCCCGCGGCUCAACUGCGGAACGGCUUUGGAAACUGAGUAACUAGAGUGCUGGAGGGGCAGGCGGAAUUCCUGGUGUAGCGGUGAAAUGCGUAGAUAUCAGGAGGAACACCGGUGGCGAAGGCGGCCUGCUGGACAGUAACUGACGUUGAGGCUCGAAAGCGUGGGGAGCAAACAGGAUUAGAUACCCGCGUAGA